AAGACACUAGUAUAACCCGUUAUUACACUGCCUUGUCAAGGCAAAAUUGUGGGUUAAACCCCCGCGUGCCUUA
RNAcentral lists this transfer RNA (73 nucleotides) under Macropinna microstoma (barreleye). RNAcentral describes it as "tRNA-Asp". It matches the Rfam family "tRNA". From Rfam's summary of the family: Transfer RNA (tRNA) molecules are approximately 80 nucleotides in length. Their secondary structure includes four short double-helical elements and three loops (D, anti-codon, and T loops). The record is from RNAcentral. Lineage: Eukaryota; Metazoa; Chordata; Actinopteri; Argentiniformes; Opisthoproctidae.